GACGGGGCCCGCACAAGCAGCGGAGCGUGUGGUUUAAUUCGAUGAUACACGAAGAACCUUACCCAGGCUUGACAUGUAGGUGGUAGGGAUCCGAAAGGUGACCGACCCUUCGGGGAGCCUGCACAGGUGCUGCAUGGCUGUCGUCAGCUCGUGUCGUGAGAUGUCCGGUUAAGUCCGGUAACGAGCGCAACCCUCGCUGUAUGUUAUAUGUGUCAUACGGGACUGCCGGUAUCAAGCCGGAGGAAGGUGGGAUGACGUCAAGUCAGCAUGGCCUUUAUGUCUGGGGCUACACACACGCUACAAUGGCCAGUACAAUAGGUUGCAAAACCGCGAGGUGGAGCCAAUCCUAAAAGCUGGUCUCAGUUCGGAUUGCAGGCUGCAACUCGCCUGCAUGAAGUCGGAGUUGCUAGUAACCGCGCGUCAGCUAUAGUGCGGUGAAUACGUUCCCGGGCCUU
RNAcentral lists this ribosomal RNA (455 nucleotides) under uncultured Anaerolineaceae bacterium. RNAcentral's name for it is "bacterial SSU rRNA". It matches the Rfam family "Bacterial small subunit ribosomal RNA", at positions 916 to 1381 of the family's 1533-position model. Lineage: Bacteria; Bacillati; Chloroflexota; Anaerolineae; Anaerolineales; Anaerolineaceae. The record is from RNAcentral.